Non-coding RNA from Lupinus angustifolius (narrow-leaved blue lupine), 113 nucleotides. The record is from Rfam. NCBI's taxonomy places the organism in Eukaryota, Viridiplantae, Streptophyta, Magnoliopsida, Fabales, Fabaceae.
UUAUUUGUUUAUAUGAUUUUAAUGCACCGAAACCCAUCAGAACUUGUUAAGCGUGUUUGGGCGAGAGUGGUAGUACGAUGGUGACCUCAUGGGAAUACCUCGUGUUGCACCCU